This is a ribosomal RNA of 797 nucleotides. It matches the Rfam family "Eukaryotic large subunit ribosomal RNA", at positions 76 to 891 of the family's 3401-position model.
UGCCUCAGUAACGGCGAGUGAAGCGGCAACAGCUCAAAUUUUAAAGCUGGCGUCUUCGGCGUCCGCGUUGUAAUUUGGAGAGGCAUCUUCGGUUUGGGCGCCAGCCUAUGUUCCUUGGAACAGGACGUCACAGAGGGUGAGAAUCCCGUGCUUGCUGGCUGUCCCAUUCCAUGUGAAGUGUCUUCGACGAGUCGAGUUGUUUGGGAAUGCAGCUCAAAAUGGGUGGUAAAUUUCAUCUAAAGCUAAAUAUUGGUGGGAGACCGAUAGCGCACAAGUAGAGUGAUCGAAAGAUGAAAAGCACUUUGAAAAUAGAGUUAAAAAGUACGUGAAAUUGUUGAAAGGGAAGCGCUUGAGACCAGACUCGGCUGGUGAUGAUCAGCUGUCCUUCUGGGCAGUGCACUUGUCGCCGGUCGGGCCAGCAUCGGUUGAGACGGCGGGAUAAAGAUCUCGGGAAUGUGGCUCCUUUCGGGGAGUGUUAUAGCCCGGGGUGCAAUGCCGCCAGCCUCGACCGAGGACCGCGCUUCGGCUAGGAUGCUGGCGUAAUGGUCUUCAGCGACCCGUCUUGAAACACGGACCAAGGAGUCUAACAUCUAUGCGAGUGUUUGGGUGUCAAACCCUUGCGCGAAAUGAAAGUGAACGGAGGUGGGAACCCGCAAGGGUGCACCAUCGACCGGUCCUGAUGUCUUCGGAUGGGAUCUGAGUAGGAGCAUAGCUGUUGGGACCCGAAAGAUGGUGAACUAUGCCUGAUAGGGUGAAGCCAGANGAAACUCUGGUGGAGGCUCGCAGCGGUUCUGACG